This is a long non-coding RNA of Salvia splendens (bonfire salvia), 537 nucleotides long. RefSeq lists it as uncharacterized. Lineage: Eukaryota; Viridiplantae; Streptophyta; Magnoliopsida; Lamiales; Lamiaceae. The record is from RefSeq and is a predicted model, not a curated record. The transcript has 2 exons.
AUCACAGUGAAUUACGGUGUGAUACCGGAAACCUUGAGAACCUUUUUCUGGAAAUAUCUUGGAGGAGUUGGCUGCGUUCAGCAAUCAAAAGCAGUUGAAAAUUCUGCCAUUGAAAGGCUGAAACUGAAAUGGAGUACAAAAACUAACAAGGACGACAGUGGUGUGUAUUUGAUGAGACACCUUGAAACUUACAUGGGUCAGAAAGGGUGUGAAUGGACUUGUGGCCUAUCAAAGAAGAGCAAAGGGGUGUUGCAGAUAUUGAGAGCCAAGUACUGUACUGCACUGAUGCUGGCAGAAAUAAAUCACGAACACUUCAAGAAUAAAGCCAAGGUAAUACCAUAUUAUGCAAAUGCACUACAGACCGAGAAGAUAGACGUGGAAAAGUUGAUAGCCAACUAUGCAAAAGAAGGAACGAAUCUAUUUAACUAAUUCACCAGAGGUUUCAUCAUUUUAAGUAGUUUUGAGACUAUGUUUCAGAAGUUUUCGCUACAUUUUGAAUAAUCAUUAAUGACAUUACACAUGAGGUGUUUUUUUUCA